UACGGAGGGAGCUAGCGUUGUUCGGAAUUACUGGGCGUAAAGCGCACGUAGGCGGCUUUGUAAGUUAGAGGUGAAAGCCCGGGGCUCAACUCCGGAAUUGCCUUUAAGACUGCAUCGCUUGAAUCCGGGAGAGGUGAGUGGAAUUCCAAGUGUAGAGGUGAAAUUCGUAGAUAUUCGGAAGAACACCAGUGGCGAAGGCGGCUCACUGGACCGGUAUUGACGCUGAGGUGCGAAAGCGUGGGGAGCAAACAGG
Molecule: ribosomal RNA, 253 nt
Filed under: uncultured bacterium
Lineage: Bacteria
Description: partial 16S ribosomal RNA
Rfam family: Bacterial small subunit ribosomal RNA
Source: RNAcentral